GGCUGAACGCGGAUCCGCCGGGGCCGCCGCCCUGGCCAGGUUGGCCGGGCUCGCCCGGCUGGCCGAGCUCGCCCGGUUGUCCUCCCUUACCGCCGCGUCCUCCCCUGCCGCCGCGGCCUCCGAUGCCGAGAAAGCCGCCGUCGCCACCGUGAGGGCCGAACACGGAUCCGCCGCGACCACCGCCCUGGCCCGGUUGGCCUCCCCUGCCGUUGCGUCCUCCACUGCCGCCGCGUCCUCGCCUGGUUGCCAUUGAUGGCGAUCUAGGUCGGCGCCGGCGCAGAGGCAGAAAGGGAACGGGCAUAACCUAGACCGGCGCAGAGCCUCGUCUCGUCUCGUCUCGCCAUAAGGCGGCUGGCGACGACGACGAGCCCUCCUGCUCGCACUACUACCUCCGCCACCUCCAGGCGGCGGAUGAGCCGCCGGUGCGCGACCCCAUCGGCGAGGGCACCGCGCACGCGUGGGUCGAGCGCAGCCCGUCGCUGCUCCGGCUCACGGGAGGGACCCGUUCAACGGCGAGCCCCCGCUGCCGCUGCUCAUGCGGCACGGCUUCGUCACCCCGGCCCGCUGCACUACGUGCGCAACCACAGCACCGUGCCGCGGGCGGACUGGGCGACCUGGACCGUCGAGGUGACGGGCCUCGUCCGGCGUCCCGCACGGCUCGCCAUGGCGGACCUCGCCGGGGGCUUCCGCGCUGGAGCUCCCCGUCACGCUCGCCUGCUCCAGCGGCCGGCGCAAGGAGCAGAACAUGGCGCGGCAGACGCUGGGCUUCAACUGGGGCCCCGGCGCCGUGUCCACCUCGGUGGCGCGGCGCGCCGCUCCGCGACGUGCUGCGCCGGGGCAUGCUAAAUUGCUAAUGCGAUAUUGAUCAGUUGUCUAUCUUGUCGAACGGGUCAUUUGCAAUAGCAUUUACGAAAAAAAUAUGAUUUGAUAGUCCUACUCCUAUUAUGUACGAGAAGCUAAAUAGGGUGCUGUAUGAAUGUGCAACAUGAUGAAUAUUAAUUUCUCCCAAAUGUUUUGUA
Panicum virgatum (switchgrass) is the source of this 1019-nucleotide long non-coding RNA. RefSeq lists it as uncharacterized. The transcript has 2 exons. The record is from RefSeq and is a predicted model, not a curated record. NCBI's taxonomy places the organism in Eukaryota, Viridiplantae, Streptophyta, Magnoliopsida, Poales, Poaceae.